UCUCUCUCUCUCCUCCCCAAGCAGGGACGCCUCUUUGGUGCCACGGCACGAUUUGGAUUCCCGCACGACACCCUCGAGUGAGGUUUUUGUGGAGUAUCCAAGUAACAGCGAAGGAGCGGUGCAGUUAGCAAGGCAUCUUCCCUGGUCCCUGCCUAUGAGCGCUAACUCUACAGAGUCAGGCGGAGCGGCGAUGCUGUCUUAAGGGACAGGGUGAGGCCGUUCCACAGAUGGGCCAAGAAUCGGGGCCGUGGCCCGUUGUGGCGGGCGGGUGGCAGAACGGAUGUGCGUUUGGGCAGGGAAUCAGAGUAGCUAUCCAGGUGACUGCAAGCUGCAUGUGUUUGGCCGGGGGUUUGAAUCGGAGGAUCCAGAUUCCAUUGUAGUAGAAAGCUCUGGAAUGAGAAAAAUGUUAAGCGAAGCAGGAGAGAUUGACUGUCAAUGUGCCUGAGCUAAUAAGUGUCAUUGCUCUGAGUCCUUGCUGUGGUGAUAGUGCAUCACUGGAAACCUAUGUAUUAAUGCCUAAUGUUGU
Molecule: long non-coding RNA, 526 nt
Organism: Grus americana (Whooping crane)
Lineage: Eukaryota; Metazoa; Chordata; Aves; Gruiformes; Gruidae
Exons: 3
Source: RefSeq, a predicted model, not a curated record